ACGUGAGCCUAACAUCUAGAUUAAGAAAGAGGUGCGGAAACCAGAGUGGAGCAAAGGUUUAAGUUAAAAGGAAGGAUAAAUAGAAGGUAAUGAGACAGCUUCAUUUCCUUGAAAGAACUACUCUAAUUGCAGCUGGUUUAUUCAUCAUUAAAAAAAAAUCUUUCUGUCCCCCCGUUAAAUAAUAACAGCAGUUCAACAUGGCACAAGAGUAGCAGGGCUGCUUUACUUCCCUGUAAGACCAACUUAUUCCAGUUGGCUUAUUCUUUUUUCGGAAAAAAACUCUUUGUUUCAUUGUCAAGUUAUAUUAUCACUACAACAUGGCACAAGCAAACGUGACAUCGAUGUUUGCAGUGCCUAGUUUUGAUUGUGAAGUCUUGAGCAAGGUUUCCAUAAUGGAUCUAUUUCAUUAUUUACAGACUCUGACCAAGACUGUUAUCAUCCGACAUAAUGGUUAUAACGGUCGUUUUUUGCUUCAAAAAGUGCUUUCUCAAUUUUUUAGUAUUAAAAUAAUCAUCUCUAGAACAGCCUUUU
RNAcentral lists this long non-coding RNA (531 nucleotides) under Phoenix dactylifera (date palm). RNAcentral describes it as "long non-coding RNA (PDAC_LNC022402)". The record is from RNAcentral. Lineage: Eukaryota; Viridiplantae; Streptophyta; Magnoliopsida; Arecales; Arecaceae.